CCUACGGGAGGCAGCAGUGGGGAAUAUUGCACAAUGGGGGAAACCCUGAUGCAGCGACGCCGCGUGAGCGAUGAAGUACUUCGGUAUGUAAAGCUCUAUCAGCAGGGAAGAAGAUGACGGUACCUGACUAACAAGCCACUGCUAACUCCGUGCCAGCAGCCGCGGUAAUACGCAGGGGGCGAGCGUUAUCCGGAUCUACGGGGUGUAAAGGGAGCGUAGAUGGCGAUGCAAGCCAGACGUGAAAGCCCCGGGCUCAACCCAGGGACUGCAUUUGAAACUGUGAGACUGGAGUGUCGGAGAGGCUAGCGGAAGUCCUGGUGUAGCGGUGAAAUGCGUAGAUAUCGGGAGGAACACUAGUGGCGAAGGCGGGUUCCUGGACAUUAACUGACGCUGAGGCACGAAAGCCAGGGGAGCAAAAAGGAUUAGAUACCCUAGUAGUC
This 440-nucleotide ribosomal RNA is filed under the name uncultured bacterium. RNAcentral describes it as "partial 16S ribosomal RNA". It matches the Rfam family "Bacterial small subunit ribosomal RNA", at positions 338 to 795 of the family's 1533-position model. The record is from RNAcentral.